GCUGGGUGUGGUGGUGCAUGCCUGUAAUCCCAGCUACUUGGGAGGCUGAGGCAGGAGAAUCGCUUGAACCCAGGAGGUGGAGGUUGCGGUGAGCCGAGAUCAUGCCAUUGCACUCCACCCUGGAUGAGAGAGUGAGACUCUGUCUCAA
RNAcentral lists this small RNA (148 nucleotides) under Macaca fascicularis (crab-eating macaque). Its description in RNAcentral is "Metazoan signal recognition particle RNA (ENSMFAG00000061245.1)". Lineage: Eukaryota; Metazoa; Chordata; Mammalia; Primates; Cercopithecidae. The record is from Rfam by way of RNAcentral.